CUAUGGUUGUGAAAGGUGCAAUAAAAUAAUGGUGCCUCAGUCUCCUGAGAAACUUAAGUGUUUAUUAUUGGAAUGCAGUCUUAGCAAUGCCUAUUAUGGUGCAUACUUUUGUGCUUUACGAGGAAGUUCUGGUGGUGCUUUCAGCUGGCGAAAAAAAAUUUUUCUGGAAAAAUAUUUCUAGGAAUGACUUCGUGUUAUACACAAGUGGCUAAAAAAUUUUUAAAAAUGAAUCACAGAUGGUCGAGUGGCAACAUUAGUACAGCUGGCAUGGAAUGACCCAUAUAGGGAUUGGAACAAAGCUGUACCUGAGGGGUGUAAUUGUUAUUUCAAUUCUGUGAGAGACUUGUGAAUCAUCACAGAUCACAUGUGACCUGCACGAAAAUGUACAUUGUUAUCGGACCUGAGAUAGUGAAACAUGUGGUGGCCCACUAUAGAAUAACUUGGCACUAAUUUACAAUAUCUUGAAUGCAUACUUAGGCCAUGUCUUUAUGUUCAGUGAAUUUUGUAUAACAUUUCAUAAGUUAAAUAAUUACAUUAAAAGGUCUGGUGUUAUGCAGCCUUCAAAAUUGCAGACAACUGGCUGUAGGCUUAGGUUGCAUGUGGCACAGAUGUGUUUUCUCUUCCUGCAAGAUCAUCUUGGUGGUAGAACCUAAAGAAAUUUAAUGCACAAAUGGCAGUGCAAGUGACAAAAACAUGCUGCAAAUUGCAAGCAUUUUAUUGAUUCUUUUAACUUUAUGUUUAGGCUAAACUUUGAUCAUGCAGCAUAGGUAAUGGCAGUAUUGUUCUUCUAACAGCCGGAAAGCUUGUGCCUGUUGCAAGUGUUGUCAUUGUACGUAUUAAUUACACUGCACAUUAAUAGUAGCAGAGCACUGAAUGUGUUCAGGAUUGUUGGCAACAGGCUUAAAAACCAGUUUCUGUUCUGGAACCUUGGCAAGAAGACAAACUGUGUGGCAAUUGCUUCCGUACAUGGUAUGCAGAAUAAAUUUUUUAAAUUAAUUAUUUUUAAGGCAUUUUUUAAAUCUUGCAGCGAGUUUAAUUUCAAUGUUCCCUUGGGUGUAUUGGGUGUAUAACUUUCGUUUUAUAAAUUUAAAAGUAGCUCAAUAACAAAAUGUCAAAGAGCCAGUUGUUAUCGGCAAGGUGCAAAUCAACUGGACUGACACUUUUACACAUUUGAGCAGCUGCUCUGCAGUUUUACAUUCUUUUCAAUCAUUUAAUUAUUGACUCACUGAGCAUUAGAAUAGGUUUUUCACAGAGUUCAGCUGGGCAUACUGCAUUCACUCUGUAGGUGAUCGCAGUGAACCAGCCUUCAUGCUAGAAUAUGUGCAACUUGUACAUAUUACCUCUACUGUUUGCACGUUUUACUAUGGAAUACUCUCCGUCCUCGAAAUGUCCCAUCACGAGGUAAUGCUGAUAGCAAAUUAGCAGACAAAGGAAACUGAAAUUUUUAGGACCAUUUAUCACUCAAAUGUGCACAUUGUGCUGUGGUAGAUGAUCAAUUAUUUUCAAAUAUAUUGUACAAAGAUCAAAGGCCGCUUCAUCUUAUGUUGGGGAAAAUGUGGGUUAGCCUAUGGAAAUAUAUUUUUUCCAGUUGUGUGAAUGCUGUGAAUGUUGCAGCAUAGUAGAAGCAGGAUGCUAUACACAAGAAUCUCACAUUGAACAUUUGAAAGUAGAAGCAAUAAAGGAAGUUAAUAAACCUUA
RNAcentral lists this long non-coding RNA (1698 nucleotides) under Dermacentor andersoni. Its description in RNAcentral is "uncharacterized LOC126548060". Lineage: Eukaryota; Metazoa; Arthropoda; Arachnida; Ixodida; Ixodidae. The record is from RNAcentral.